Molecule: ribosomal RNA, 929 nt
Filed under: uncultured bacterium
Lineage: Bacteria
Description: bacterial SSU rRNA
Rfam family: Bacterial small subunit ribosomal RNA
Source: RNAcentral
AGAGUUUGAUCCUGGCUCAGGAUGAACGCUAGCGGCAGGCCUAACACAUGCAAGUCGAGGGGUAACAGGAAUUGCUUGCAAUUUGCUGACGACCGGCGCACGGGUGCGGAACGCGUAUGGAACCUGCCCCUGUCAGGGGAAUAGCCCAGAGAAAUUUGGAUUAAUGCCCCAUGGUAUCCCAUCGCCACAUGGUGAAGGGAUUAAAGAUUUAUCGGACAGGGAUGGCCAUGCGUACCAUUAGCUAGUUGGUAAGGUAACGGCUUACCAAGGCAACGAUGGUUAGGGGCCCUGAGAGGGGGAUCCCCCACACUGGUACUGAGACACGGACCAGACUCCUACGGGAGGCAGCAGUGAGGAAUAUUGGACAAUGGGCGGGAGCCUGAUCCAGCCAUGCCGCGUGCAGGAUGACUGCCCUAUGGGUUGUAAACUGCUUUUAUACGGGAAGAAACCUGUCCACGUGUGGACAGCUGACGGUACCGUAAGAAUAAGGACCGGCUAACUCCGUGCCAGCAGCCGCGGUAAUACGGAGGGUCCGAGCGUUAUCCGGAAUCAUUGGGUUUAAAGGGUCCGUAGGUGGGCCAUUAAGUCAGGGGUGAAAGUCUGCAGCUCAACUGUAGAAUUGCCUUUGAUACUGGUGGUCUUGAGUCGUUGUGGGGUUGCCGGAACAUGUGGUGUAGCGGUGAAAUGCAUAGAUAUCACAUAGAACACCGAUCGCGAAGGCAGGUGACCAACAACGUACUGACACUGAUGGACGAAAGCGUGGGUAGCGAACGGGAUUAGAUACCCCGGUAGUCCACGCCGUAAACGAUGGAUACUAGCUGUCGGGCCUUCGGGCUCGGCGGCCAAGCGAAAGUGAUAAGUAUCCCACCUGGGGAGUACGUUCGCAAGAAUGAAACUCAAAGGAAUUGACGGGGGCCCGCACAAGCGGU